This is a long non-coding RNA of Manis javanica (Malayan pangolin), 3439 nucleotides long. RefSeq lists it as uncharacterized. Lineage: Eukaryota; Metazoa; Chordata; Mammalia; Pholidota; Manidae. The record is from RefSeq and is a predicted model, not a curated record.
ACAAUCUGGACUCUGCAAAUAGCAAAGUCUCACAAUCAAGAAUGAGAUUCUGCAGCCAAGAAGAAAAACUCUCCUAGGGCAUUUAGGAUGGAGCCUCUCAAGAAAACAAGAAAAAUGUUCUUCAUAUUUUAUCAGCCAAGCAGAAAAUCCAGAGAGGAAAGUUUUAUUAAGACUGAAAAUUGUUGGAAUGAUACAGGUCUUUGCUACAAUCUAGUGGUGAGCUGCAUUUCCUGACUCAGCCGACUUCCCAGCAGGAAUUCCAGUCUGAUGAAGGAUCAGCACAAGGAAGCCCCACUGAGAGACACACUGUUACACUAGCAACAUUGUAAGUGUACAACAGCCACUUGUGGCCACUGGCUCCUGUAUCGGACAGCACAGACCUAGAACAUUUACAUCACUACAAAAAUUCUGUUGGAUGGCACAGUUCCAGAUGAAACAACUAAAGAGACAGUUAUUACAGAUGCCAUUAAGAAUAUUUAUGAUUCACGGUAAGACUUCAAAAUAUCAACAUUCACAAAAGUCUGGAAGAAGGUGACAACCAACCGUCACAGAUGAGGAACUCAAGACUUUUGUACAGGAAGUAACUGCAGAUGUGGUGGAAACAUCAAGAGAACUAGAAACAUAACCUGAAGAUGUAACUGCAUUGCAGCAACUUCAUGAUAAACUUUUACAGAUGAAGAACUGCUUUUUAUGAGUUAGCAGAGAAAGUGGUUUCUUAAGAUGGAAUCUACUCCUGGUGAAUAUGCUAUGAGGAUUGUUGAAAUGACAAGGAUUUAGAAUAUUACAUAAACUAAAUUGACAAAGCAAUGUUAGAGUUUGAGAGGACUGACUCUAGUUUUGAAAGAAGUUCUACUGUGGGUCAAAUGCUACUACACAGCAUCACAUGCUACAGAGAAAUCAUUAAUGAAAGACAGAGUCAACCAAUGUGGCAACCUUCACUGUUGUCUUAUAGUAUGAAACUGCCAUAGCCACCCAACCUUCAACAACCACCACCCUGAUCAGUAAGCAGCCAUCAACAUCAAGGCAAGACCAGCCAAAAGAUUAGGGCCUGCUAAAAGUUCAGAUGAUGGUUAUCAUUUUGCAGCAAUAAAGUAUUUUUAAAUUAAGUAUGUACAUUUUUUUAGACAUAAUGCUAUUGUACACUUAACAGACUGUAGUAUAAAUGUAACUGCUCUAUGUAUUGGGAAACCAAAAAAUUCACUUGCUUAAUUGCCAUCUUUGCUUUACUGCAGUGGUGUGGAACUGAACCUGCAGUAUCUGAGGUAUGCCUGUAGUCUCCUAACUGGUCUGUUGUGGGUCUUGUGGUCUUCCAUUCAUUCUCUAUAGGCUAUACUAUUUCCAAAGUGAUCUCUAAUCCUUUGCCUCAACCUCUUCAAAGAUAGUCAACCACACCACGAUCUGUCCUUAACUUUCCAGUUUCCCAUACUAACACUAUAAACUUAGAAUUUUGUCUUUCAGAACACUUCAAACUCUAGGUUAGCAGCCUUCAUCUGGCCCCUGCUCACUUGUCUGACCUAAUCCUCAAAAAACAUCACAGUCACACUAAACUGCUUGUAGAGCCCCAGCUAGUCAGUUUGUAUUUAACAGCAUUUGCCUUUGAAAGUGCAGUUCUCUUGUCUAAAAUGGUCUGCUUCUAUGACUACCCAACUUCUUAAAAAUCAAUUCAAAUAUCACUUAAUCUAGGAAGCCUUUUUUAAAAAAUAACUCCCCACCCAUACUGCUUCUGAUGCAAAUGCUCUCCUCAAUGCUCCUCUGCUUACCUCUAUUCUAAUACCUACUACAGUGCACAUAACUGCUAGUUUGCUAGUCUACUAUAAACUUUUGGAAGGCAGGGAUGGUUUAUUUGACUUUAUUUCUCCAGUGAGUAGAUUUGGGAUGAAUUAUGAAAGUCAAACGCAAGAGAGUUUGAUAAGCCACUGGCUUCUGAUCAAAAUGCAGAGAAUAAAGAAAAAAGAGAAACUGAGGAUGAUUCUCAGGUUUUGGGCCUGAAAAUUGGGUAGAUGGUUGAACCAUUAAAUAAGUGAGAAAGACUGAGAUACCUACUGGAUAUUCCAACAGACAGAUCAUACAGGCAAUCUUACAUUCAAGGGGAAAAGGAACAGGCUAGAUAUAUAAGUUUAAGUGUCAUAAGCACAUAGAUGGAAUCUAAAGCCCUGGGACUGGAUAUUACUUAGGGAGAUCAUGUAGAUAAAGUCCAGGUACUAUAUUUUAGUUCUGAGAAGGAAAGCACAAGAAAGAGGAAGAAAACUAGAAGAAUGAAGUAUUUAGGAAGUUAAAGAAACAAGUGUUUUAGGAGGAGGGAGUGCUCAACUGUGUUAAGUGCCAAAAGGACAAACCACUGGAUUUGGCAACAUGGAAGUCACCAGAGAUCUCGACAAGAACAGUUUUAGUACAGUAUUAAAUAUAGAAGCCAAAAUGUGUGAAGGUAGACAAAAGGUACAUACUUCCAGUUAUAAGUAAGUGUGGAUGUAACACACAACAUGGUAACUGUAGUUAACAAUUAUGUAUUGUACAUUUGAAAGUUGCUGAGAGUAGACCUUAAAAGUUCUUAUAACAAGAAGAAAAUAUUGCCUACGUGAGGUAAUGGAAGAUAGUGAAACUUAUUUUGGUAAUCAUUUCUAAUAUAUACAUAUGUAAAUCAUUUUGUUGUACAUCUUAAACAUAGACAAUGUUGUAUGUCAACUAUAUCUCAAUAAAACGGGGGAUAAAAGCCAGACUGGAGUGUGCCAAAGGAAAAAUGGGAGGAAAGAAAGCAGAGACAUCAAGUAGAGACAAAAAUUGUUUUAUUGUGAAAAGAUCAGAGAAAAUGGCACAACAGUUGAAAGGGGUGAGGGAUCGAGGCAGGGAGAAUUACAGAAGUAAAUCCUUGUAUUACACUUUCACAUGCUGUUGAAAUUAGUUUUUCAGUUUUUUCCAAUUACAUCAGUUCCUUAAGAACAGAAUUUUCUAUUUUCUAACUCCUCUUUGCAUGUCAUAGGUUCUUAAUAAAUUUUGUACAAUAUCUAGAACCUAAACUCUUAAGUCCUGGUUCAAGAAAUGCACUGGAGUGGCAGGAGCAGAAUUUGGAAUUAGACUCAAGUUUAAAUACCAGAUUUUUCACUAACAAGUUAGGCAGCCUUAGACACGUUACUUUACCUUUCAGAGCCUCAGGCUUCUUAUAGGCACAAAAUAUUUAGUUUACUGAAAUGCUGUGAUAAUAUGAGAGUAAGUCACUUGGUACAGUGUCUUACCCAAUGAUACUAUUCAAUAUUAUAAUUAUUGCUAUUAUUUUCAAUGGCAGGUAAGUAUAAUCAUGUGUAUACCAUACAUACAUACAUGUAAAGCAUGUAUAUACUGUAGAGAAUUGAAACUAUUUUGAAUUUAAGAGUUUUGCAUUACCUCUAGUCAACUGGUAUGUCAAAACAAACACAAAGCAAAAGAUAGUGAGAAGGCAAAUGGU